RNAcentral lists this transfer RNA (85 nucleotides) under Desulfotalea sp. Its description in RNAcentral is "tRNA-Leu". It matches the Rfam family "tRNA". Rfam says of the family: Transfer RNA (tRNA) molecules are approximately 80 nucleotides in length. Their secondary structure includes four short double-helical elements and three loops (D, anti-codon, and T loops). Further hydrogen bonds mediate the characteristic L-shaped molecular structure. tRNAs have two regions of fundamental functional importance: the anti-codon, which is responsible for specific mRNA codon recognition, and the 3' end, to which the tRNAs corresponding amino acid is attached (by aminoacyl-tRNA synthetases). tRNAs cope with the degeneracy of the genetic code in two manners: having more than one tRNA (with a specific anti-codon) for a particular amino acid; and 'wobble' base-pairing, i.e. permitting non-standard base-pairing at the 3rd anti-codon position. Lineage: Bacteria; Pseudomonadati; Thermodesulfobacteriota; Desulfobulbia; Desulfobulbales; Desulfocapsaceae. RNAcentral also lists the same sequence under 2 other names. The record is from RNAcentral.
GCCGAAGUGGUGAAAUUGGUAGACGCGCACGCUUGAGGGGCGUGUGGGGCAACCCGUGCCGGUUCGACUCCGGCCUUCGGCACCA